This 164-nucleotide ribosomal RNA is filed under the name uncultured bacterium. RNAcentral's name for it is "partial 16S rRNA". It matches the Rfam family "Bacterial small subunit ribosomal RNA", at positions 355 to 511 of the family's 1533-position model. The record is from RNAcentral.
UAGGGAAUCUUCCACAAUGGACGAAAGUCUGAUGGAGCAACGCCGCGUGAGUGAAGAAGGGUUUCGGCUCGUAAAACUCUGUUGUUAAAGAAGAACAUAUCUGAGAGUAACUGUUCAGGUAUUGACGGUAUUUAACCAGAAAGCCACGGCUAACUACGUGCCUA